UUGGGCGUUAAGUUGCAGGGUAUAGACCCGAAACCCGGUGAUCUAGCCAUGGGCAGGUUGAAGGUUGGGUAACACUAACUGGAGGACCGAACCGACUAAUGUUGAAAAAUUAGCGGAUGACCUGUGGCUGGGGGUGAAAGGCCAAUCAAACCGGGAGAUAGCUGGUUCUCCCCGAAAGCUAUUUAGGUAGCGCCUCGUGAAUUCAUCUCCGGGGGUAGAGCACUGUUUCGGCUAGGGGGCCAUCCCGGCUUACCAACCCGAUGCAAACUGCGAAUACCGGAGAAUGUUAUCACGGGAGACACACGGCGGGUGCUAACGUCCGUCGUGAAGAGGGAAACAACCCAGACCGCCAGCUAAGGUCCCAAAGUCAUGGUUAAGUGGGAAACGAUGUGGGAAGGCCCAGACAGCCAGGAUGUUGGCUUAGAAGCAGCCAUCAUUUAAAGAAAGCGUAAUAGCUCACUGGUCGAGUCGGCCUGCGCGGAAGAUGUAACGGGGCUAAACCAUGCACCGAAGCUGCGGCAGCGAACGUAUCACUUAAAGCGAUUCAGCGGGUUACGAUUGACGGAGCGAAGCGACGUCAAAGCGUAUACAAAGUCGAGUCGGUUUAAGGAUACGUUCGUUGGGUAGGGGAGCGUUCUGUAAGCCUGUGAAGGUGGCCUGUGAGGG
This 666-nucleotide ribosomal RNA is filed under the name Salmonella enterica subsp. enterica serovar Thompson. RNAcentral's name for it is "partial 23S ribosomal RNA". It matches the Rfam family "Bacterial large subunit ribosomal RNA", at positions 688 to 1269 of the family's 2925-position model. The record is from RNAcentral. Lineage: Bacteria; Pseudomonadati; Pseudomonadota; Gammaproteobacteria; Enterobacterales; Enterobacteriaceae.